AACGAACGCUGGCGGCAUGCCUAACACAUGCAAGUCGAACGAGACCUUCGGGUCUAGUGGCGCACGGGUGCGUAACGCGUGGGAACCUGCCCUUAGGUUCGGAAUAACUCCCCGAAAGGGGUGCUAAUACCGGAUAAUGUCUUCGGACCAAAGAUUUAUCGCCUUUGGAUGGGCCCGCGUUGGAUUAGCUAGUUGGUAGGGUAAAAGCCUACCAAGGCGACGAUCCAUAGCUGGUCUGAGAGGAUGAUCAGCCACACUGGGACUGAGACACGGCCCAGACUCCUACGGGAGGCAGCAGUGGGGAAUAUUGGACAAUGGGAAAGCCUGAUCCAGCAAUGCCGCGUGAGUGAUGAAGGCCUUAGGGUUGUAAAGCUCUUUUACCCGGGAUGAUAAUGACAGUACCGGGAGAAUAAGCGCCGGCUAACUCCGUG
RNAcentral lists this ribosomal RNA (431 nucleotides) under uncultured bacterium. RNAcentral describes it as "partial 16S ribosomal RNA". It matches the Rfam family "Bacterial small subunit ribosomal RNA", at positions 29 to 507 of the family's 1533-position model. The record is from RNAcentral.